This 588-nucleotide ribosomal RNA is filed under the name Eumonhystera sp. RNAcentral describes it as "bacterial SSU rRNA". It matches the Rfam family "Eukaryotic small subunit ribosomal RNA", at positions 83 to 666 of the family's 1831-position model. The record is from RNAcentral. Lineage: Eukaryota; Metazoa; Nematoda; Chromadorea; Monhysterida; Monhysteridae.
GAAGCCGCGAAAAGCUCAUUACAAUAGCCGUUGUUUCUUGGAUCUCCAAAUACUACAUGGAUAACUGUGGUAAUUCUAGAGCUAAUACAUGCGUACAUGCAUCAACUGGUUUCAGCCGGGCGAUGUGCAUUUAUUGGUACAGAACCAUCCGGCUUCGGCCGUUCAUUGGUGAAUCUAAAUAACUGAGCGGAGCACACACUCUUGCAGUGGUGCCAGUUCUUUCAAGUGUCUACCUUAUCAACUUCCGACGGUAGUUUAUGUGCCUACCGUGGUUGUAACGGGUAACGGAGAAUCAGGGUUUGACUCCGGAGAGGGAGCCUGAGAAACGGCUACCACUUCUAAGGAAGGCAGCAGGCGCGCAAAUUACCCAUUCUCAGCACGAGGAGGUAGUGACGAGAAAUAGCAAGGCGGUGCCCAACGGGUGCCGUCAUUGCAAUGAGUACAAUUUAAAUCCUUAAACGAGGAUCGAGUCGAGGGGAAGUCUGGUGCCAGCAGCCGCGGUAAUUCCAGCUCGGCUAGCAUAUAUCAAUGUUGCUGCGGUUAAAAAGCUCGUAGUUGGAUCUGGCGUUUAUGUGCGGGUGCACCCAG